AAUCUAAAAAUAAGAACUGUAACAAUAUGCUUAUAUGCAGAACAACGUUGGCUAUGAUAUUACUAUUUGGAACUAUUUAUAGGUACAAUGUACAAGAGUCACACCAUGUAAGAAUGCAAUGGAAACAUCCUACUGUUGUAUUGGCCAGCUUCUAGAAACAACAAGGGAAAGAAUAACCCAAAGAGUUGUGGGUUUGAUGACUGGAGAAAAAUUCUCUGUAAAAUCUAUGCCUGGACGUUGAUAAAAGCCCUUUGCUGCAAGACGAGCUCUAUAACGGUUAAUCAAUCCAUCAAAUUUUUGUUUGAUUUUAUCGACACAUUUGCAGCCCAUCACAUUUUGGGCAUGAGAACGUGGAACAAGCUUCUAAGUUCCAGUAUUAAUCAAAGCAGAGAUUUCUUCACUCAUUAUAGCUUACUAAUUUGGGUCAAUAGAGGCUUUUGCUUAACAUGAUGGUGCGUUAGGAAUAGGAUGAGCAACAAGAAAAACUUUUGGCUUGAGUGACCCAGUCUUCAAGCGUGUCACCAUGGGAUGUAUAGGUUCUGGUGGUUGGUUGGAGGUUGUUGAGUCAGGUUAAGGGAUGAUUAGUCAUAUGCUGAGAUAGCAAUUGUAAGUGAUAAGCCAUGACCUGGUUGUUGAGGUUAGUUUGGUAGUGGACUUCUAGAGAUAAUGUUAUUGAUGAGGUAGUGUUGGGAUAGGAUGUGGUUGGUGUUUUGGGUGAAUGAGAUCGAGUUGCAAUAGUGAUGGGUCUCGGCUGGCAUGUUGAAGUGUAAUUAGGAGUGGU
Molecule: unclassified non-coding RNA, 781 nt
Filed under: Hevea brasiliensis (rubber tree)
Lineage: Eukaryota; Viridiplantae; Streptophyta; Magnoliopsida; Malpighiales; Euphorbiaceae
Source: RNAcentral